RNAcentral lists this ribosomal RNA (253 nucleotides) under uncultured bacterium. RNAcentral's name for it is "partial 16S ribosomal RNA". It matches the Rfam family "Bacterial small subunit ribosomal RNA", at positions 524 to 776 of the family's 1533-position model. The record is from RNAcentral.
UACGUAGGGGGCAAGCGUUGUCCGGAUUUAUUGGGCGUAAAGAGCGUGUAGGCGGCCAUACAGGUCAGCUGUGAAAACUCGAGGCUCAACCUCGAGACGUCGGUUGAAACCGUAUGGCUAGAGUCCGGAAGAGGAGAGUGGAAUUCCCGGUGUAGCGGUGAAAUGCGCAGAUAUCGGGAAGAACACCCGUGGCGAAGGCGGCUCUCUGGGCCGAAACUGACGCUGAGGCGCGAAAGCCAGGGGAGCGAACGGG